CCUUUGUACACACCGCCCGUCGCUACUACCGAUUGAAUGGCUUAGUGAGACCCUCGGAUCGGAGGUGAGGACUGGAAACAGACCUCGUUUUCGAGAAGUUGGUCAAACUUGGUCAUUUAGAGG
RNAcentral lists this ribosomal RNA (123 nucleotides) under Glomus sp. Its description in RNAcentral is "partial small subunit ribosomal RNA". It matches the Rfam family "Eukaryotic small subunit ribosomal RNA", at positions 1657 to 1779 of the family's 1831-position model. Lineage: Eukaryota; Fungi; Glomeromycota; Glomeromycetes; Glomerales; Glomeraceae. The record is from RNAcentral.